Molecule: ribosomal RNA, 433 nt
Filed under: uncultured bacterium
Lineage: Bacteria
Description: partial 16S ribosomal RNA
Rfam family: Bacterial small subunit ribosomal RNA
Source: RNAcentral
AGCGAACGCUGGCGGCAGGCCUAACACAUGCAAGUCGAACGAACUCUUCGGAGUUAGUGGCGGACGGGUGAGUAACACGUGGGAACGUGCCUUUAGGUUCGGAAUAACUCAGGGAAACUUGUGCUAAUACCGAAUGUGCCCUUCGGGGGAAAGAUUUAUCGCCUUUAGAGCGGCCCGCGUCUGAUUAGCUAGUUGGUGAGGUAAAGGCUCACCAAGGCGACGAUCAGUAGCUGGUCUGAGAGGAUGAUCAGCCACAUUGGGACUGAGACACGGCCCAAACUCCUACGGGAGGCAGCAGUGGGGAAUCUUGCGCAAUGGGCGAAAGCCUGACGCAGCCAUGCCGCGUGAAUGAUGAAGCUCUUAGGAUUGUAAAAUUCUUUCACCGGGGACGAUAAUGACGGUACCCGGAGAAGAAGCCCCGGCUAACUUCGUG